Molecule: long non-coding RNA, 349 nt
Filed under: Ananas comosus (pineapple)
Lineage: Eukaryota; Viridiplantae; Streptophyta; Magnoliopsida; Poales; Bromeliaceae
Description: long non-coding RNA (ACOM_LNC024115)
Source: RNAcentral
CCAGUUCGGGUGUUCCCGGUGAGCGUGAGGAUCGCGGUAAAGGCCCGGCGUUCUAGUCGCAUUAGCUACCUCCCUUUUGUAUUAGCUCUCACCCCCCUUCUUUUAUAUUUGAGAGUAGAUGAUGUAUAGGGUGAGGUUCGAGUGAUUGUAUUUAUAUUUUGGAAGAAUGCAAAAGAUGUAUUUGAAUGUAGUAAAUCAAAUGAAUGUAAUAGAUAGCCUCUUUUCUCUUAUGUACUUGUAUAUGUUUUUAUACUUGUAUCUUGCUCUUGUUUAUAGCACUGGUGGUGCUUCUUGAUCGUGUAUUUAUGAAUUGAUUCCUGGAUAAAUUCUUAUGCACGAUCUAUUGGUU